GAUGAAGAACGCAGCGAAAUGCGAUACUUGGUGUGAAUUGCAGAAUCCCGUGAACCAUCGAGUCUUUGAACGCAAGUUGCGCCCGAGGCCUCCUGGUCGAGGGCACGUCUGCCUGGGUGUCACGCAUCGUCGCCCCCUCUCCCCUCGGCUCGCGAGGGCGGGGGCGGAUACUGGUCUCCCGCGCGCUCCCGCUCGCGGUUGGCCCAAAAUCGAGUCCUCGGCGACGGUCGCCACGACGAGCGGUGGUUGAGGGACCCUCGGACACGGUCGUGCGCGCGCCUGUCGCCCCCGGGAUCUCCUGGACCCUCGGGCAUCGAAAUUCUAGGAUGCUCUCGUUGCGACCCCAGGUCAGGCGGGACUACCCGCUGAGUUUAAGCAUAUCAAUAAGCGGAGGA
This 395-nucleotide unclassified non-coding RNA is filed under the name soil metagenome. Its description in RNAcentral is "partial contains 5.8S ribosomal RNA, internal transcribed spacer 2, and large subunit ribosomal RNA". The stretch from base 1 to 122 matches the Rfam family "5.8S ribosomal RNA", at positions 35 to 154 of the family's 154-position model. The record is from RNAcentral.